AGAGUUUGAUCCUGGCUCAGAAUGAACGCUGGCGGCAUGCCUAACACAUGCAAGUCGAACGAAUUACCUUCGGGUAGUUAGUGGCGCACGGGUGCGUAACGCGUGGGAAUCUGCCCCUUGGUUCGGAAUAACAGUUGGAAACGACUGCUAAUACCGGAUGACGACGUAAGUCCAAAGAUUUAUCGCCGAGGGAUGAGCCCGCGUAGGAUUAGGUAGUUGGUGUGGUAAAGGCGCACCAAGCCGACGAUCCUUAGCUGGUCUGAGAGGAUGAUCAGCCACACUGGGACUGAGACACGGCCCAGACUCCUACGGGAGGCAGCAGUGGGGAAUAUUGGACAAUGGGCGAAAGCCUGAUCCAGCAAUGCCGCGUGAGUGAUGAAGGCCUUAGGGUUGUAAAGCUCUUUUACCCGGGAUGAUAAUGACAGUACCGGGAGAAUAAGCUCCGGCUAACUCCGUGCCAGCAGNCGCGGUAAUACGGAGGGAGCUAGCGUUAUUCGGAAUUACUGGGCGUAAAGCGCACGUAGGCGGCUUUGUAAGUAAGAGGUGAAAGCCCAGAGCUCAACUCUGGAANUACUUUUUAGACUGCAUCGCUUGAAUCAUGGAGAGGUCAGUGGAAUUNCCNAGNGUAGANGGGAAAAU
RNAcentral lists this ribosomal RNA (639 nucleotides) under uncultured Sphingomonas sp. Its description in RNAcentral is "bacterial SSU rRNA". It matches the Rfam family "Bacterial small subunit ribosomal RNA", at positions 8 to 688 of the family's 1533-position model. Lineage: Bacteria; Pseudomonadati; Pseudomonadota; Alphaproteobacteria; Sphingomonadales; Sphingomonadaceae. The record is from RNAcentral.